GCCUUAACCGAAACUGAUUUGUCAAACGUGAAUUGUAGUGACUUAUAUUAACCUUACUUGGACUAAAUAUGCAAAUAUGUAUGAUUUGAAUGAACUAGAAUGCAAAGUGAAUGUGUUGAAUGCAAGUGAUGUACUCAAUGAAUAUAAAAGCGCACUAGGAUCACGAAUCCCCAAGCAAUGCUCAAUUUAACCUUAAUUCCACACUUUGACAACACGAUGAGAUUUUGGAGAACCAAUACUCCUAAAUCUAUUCAAC
This 256-nucleotide long non-coding RNA is filed under the name Olea europaea (common olive). Its description in RNAcentral is "long non-coding RNA (OEUR_LNC009587)". The record is from RNAcentral. Lineage: Eukaryota; Viridiplantae; Streptophyta; Magnoliopsida; Lamiales; Oleaceae.